This 440-nucleotide ribosomal RNA is filed under the name uncultured bacterium. RNAcentral's name for it is "partial 16S ribosomal RNA". It matches the Rfam family "Bacterial small subunit ribosomal RNA", at positions 338 to 795 of the family's 1533-position model. The record is from RNAcentral.
CCUACGGGAGGCAGCAGUGGGGGAUAUUGCACAAUGGGGGGAACCCUGAUGCAGCGACGCCGCGUGGGUGAAGAAGCGCCUCGGCGCGUAAAGCCCUGUCAGCAGGGAAGAAAAUGACGGUACCUGAAGAAGAAGCCCCGGCUAACUACGUGCCAGCAGCCGCGGUAAUACGUAGGGAGCAAGCGUUAUCCGGAUUUACUGGGUGUAAAGGGGGCGCAGACGGCGAUGCAAGCCAGGAGUGAAAGCCUGGGGCCCAACCCCGGGACUGCUCUUGGAACUGCGUGGCUGGAGUGCAGGAGGGGCAGGCGGAAUUCCUGGUGUAGCGGUGAAAUGCGUAGAUAUCAGGAGGAACACCGGUGGCGAAGGCGGCCUGCUGGACUGCAACUGACGUUGAGGCCCGAAAGCGUGGGGAGCAAACAGGAUUAGAUACCCUGGUAGUC